GACGAACGCUGGCGGCGUGCUUAACACAUGCAAGUCGAACGGAAAGGCCCUGCUUUUGUGGGGUGCUCGAGUGGCGAACGGGUGAGUAACACGUGAGUAACCUGCCCUUGACUUUGGGAUAACUUCAGGAAACUGGGGCUAAUACCGGAUAGGGGCUCCUGCUGCAUGGUGGGGGUUGGAAAGUUUCGGCGGUUGGGGAUGGACUCGCGGCUUAUCAGCUUGUUGGUGGGGUAGUGGCUUACCAAGGCUUUGACGGGUAGCCGGCCUGAGAGGGUGACCGGCCACAUUGGGACUGAGAUACGGCCCAGACUCCUACGGGAGGCAGCAGUGGGGAAUAUUGCACAAUGGGCGGAAGCCUGAUGCAGCAACGCCGCGCGCGGGAUGACGGCCUUCGGGUUGUAAACCGCUUUCGCCUGUGACGAAGCGUGAGUGACGGUAAUGGGUAAAGAAGCACCGGCUAACUACGUG
This 468-nucleotide ribosomal RNA is filed under the name uncultured bacterium. RNAcentral describes it as "partial 16S ribosomal RNA". It matches the Rfam family "Bacterial small subunit ribosomal RNA", at positions 28 to 507 of the family's 1533-position model. The record is from RNAcentral.